UACUAAAAUCUCACAUUAUGGUUUCCUA
RNAcentral lists this non-coding RNA (28 nucleotides) under Rattus norvegicus (Norway rat). The record is from RNAcentral. Lineage: Eukaryota; Metazoa; Chordata; Mammalia; Rodentia; Muridae.